Non-coding RNA from Danio rerio (zebrafish), 82 nucleotides. The record is from Rfam. NCBI's taxonomy places the organism in Eukaryota, Metazoa, Chordata, Actinopteri, Cypriniformes, Danionidae.
GGUAGUAUGGCCGAGGGGUCUAAGGCGCUGGAUUUAGACUCAAGUCUCUUUGGGGGCGUGGGUUCGAAUCCCACCGCUGCCA